RNAcentral lists this ribosomal RNA (641 nucleotides) under Staphylococcus aureus. RNAcentral's name for it is "partial 23S ribosomal RNA". It matches the Rfam family "Bacterial large subunit ribosomal RNA", at positions 2282 to 2925 of the family's 2925-position model. The record is from RNAcentral. RNAcentral also lists the same sequence under 21 other names. Lineage: Bacteria; Bacillati; Bacillota; Bacilli; Caryophanales; Staphylococcaceae.
GUCGCCUCCUAAAAGGUAACGGAGGCGCUCAAAGGUUCCCUCAGAAUGGUUGGAAAUCAUUCAUAGAGUGUAAAGGCAUAAGGGAGCUUGACUGCGAGACCUACAAGUCGAGCAGGGUCGAAAGACGGACUUAGUGAUCCGGUGGUUCCGCAUGGAAGGGCCAUCGCUCAACGGAUAAAAGCUACCCCGGGGAUAACAGGCUUAUCUCCCCCAAGAGUUCACAUCGACGGGGAGGUUUGGCACCUCGAUGUCGGCUCAUCGCAUCCUGGGGCUGUAGUCGGUCCCAAGGGUUGGGCUGUUCGCCCAUUAAAGCGGUACGCGAGCUGGGUUCAGAACGUCGUGAGACAGUUCGGUCCCUAUCCGUCGUGGGCGUAGGAAAUUUGAGAGGAGCUGUCCUUAGUACGAGAGGACCGGGAUGGACAUACCUCUGGUGUACCAGUUGUCGUGCCAACGGCAUAGCUGGGUAGCUAUGUGUGGACGGGAUAAGUGCUGAAAGCAUCUAAGCAUGAAGCCCCCCUCAAGAUGAGAUUUCCCAACUUCGGUUAUAAGAUCCCUCAAAGAUGAUGAGGUUAAUAGGUUCGAGGUGGAAGCAUGGUGACAUGUGGAGCUGACGAAUACUAAUCGAUCGAAGACUUAAUCAA